AUGCUCCAAGACGGGCCGGGCUGGGCUGGGCCGGGCCGACCCGCACGUCCAGACCCACACCGAUGGGGCAGAUUCGAUCGCGUGGAGUGGAGUAGAGUAGAUCCAGACCCACGCACGCCCGCCAAUCACCGCGUGGCCAAAUCCCGAGCAUUUAUUAAUUUCUUUCUCCUCCAGUCUUCUCUGACCCUCCCUCCCCUCUCCCCUGCGCAAGUGCACAGUGGGUCAGUGCCGCGGCGAGCUCCCCCAGCCUCGGCCUCCCCACCCGAUCUGGUCGCCCCCCGCCCGCGGACGCAGCCCCCGCCAAACCCUAGGGCUCCGCCGCGCCGCCGCGCGAAGGGGCGCUUCGCUGCUCGCCCGCCCGUGAUGGAGCCCGCCCCGCAGCUCAAGGCCGAGCCCUGGCGCCCGCCGCACCGCGCCGGCGCGGCCGGCGGGCGCGCGGCGGGGGAGGCGUCCUCCGCCGUCACGGGCCAGAGCAGCGGCAGCCGCCCGCGGAGGAGGCAGCGGGAGCCUCCCGCGUCCGAGGACGACUCGGCCUCCGCCAGGCCCGUCUCCACCUCCGGCGGCGGCGGCCAGGAUUUGACUGAUGCAGAAGCAAAGCGUUUCAAGGCAAAUAAAUCCAGUGAUGAGAAUGGCAGUUUCAGAAAAGAUGCUGAAGCUGAUUCAAGAAAUGCUAGUAAGGCUGUUGAUCAAAAUCCUCCACCACCAAAGCAAGAUUUCAUCCAUGUGAGGGCAAGAAGGGGUCAAGCAACUGACAGCCAUAGCCUUGCAGAAAGGGCACGGCGUGAGAAAAUAACCGAGCGGAUGAAAAUUCUCCAAGAUCUUGUCCCUGGAUGUAAUAAGGUUAUUGGCAAAGCAUCAGUCCUUGAUGAGAUAAUCAAUUAUGUCCAAGCUUUGGAACGUCAAAUUGAGUUCCUGUCCAUGAAGCUUGAGGCGGUUAAUGCCCAUGCCCAUGCUCACAACGGAGUUGAAACAUUUCCAACUAAAGACUUCGCUGCGCCAACAUACAACACAGCUCCAGGGUUAACAUUUGACCCACAAACACCAAGGGAGUAUGCCCAGGGCUCGCCGGCUGCAGAAUGGCUUCACAUGCAGAUUGGUGGCACCUACGAAAGAGUGACAUGA
This 1122-nucleotide ribosomal RNA is filed under the name Triticum aestivum (bread wheat). RNAcentral describes it as "partial small subunit ribosomal RNA". Lineage: Eukaryota; Viridiplantae; Streptophyta; Magnoliopsida; Poales; Poaceae. The record is from RNAcentral.